AGCCUUUGGAAACGAAGAUUAAUGCCCUAUAGUAUCAUUUUUCGGCAUCGUUAAAUGAUUAAAGUUUCGGCGGUAUAAGAUGACUAUGCGUUCUAUUAGCUAGUUGGUAAGGUAACGGCUUACCAAGGCUACGAUAGAUAGGGGUCCUGAGAGGGAGAUCCCCCACACUGGUACUGAGACACGGACCAGACUCCUACGGGAGGCAGCAGUGAGGAAUAUUGGACAAUGGAGGCAACUCUGAUCCAGCCAUGCCGCGUGUAGGAAGACUGCCCUAUGGGUUGUAAACUACUUUUAUAUGGGAAGAAUAAGGUCUACGUGUAGACUGAUGACGGUACCAUAAGAAUAAGCACCGGCUAACUCCGUGCCAGCAGCCGCGGUAAUACGGAGGGUGCAAGCGUUAUCCGGAAUCAUUGGGUUUAAAGGGUCCGUAGGCGGGCUUGUAAGUCAGUGGUGAAAGUCUGUGGCUUAACCAUAGAAUUGCCAUUGAUACUGCAGGUCUUGAAUUAUUGUGAAGUGGUUAGAAUAUGUAGUGUAGCGGUGAAAUGCUUAGAGAUUACAUAGAAUACCGAUUGCGAAGGCAGAUCACUAACAAUAUAUUGACGCUGAUGGACGAAAGCGUAGGUAGCGAACAGGAUUAGAUACCCUGGUAGUCUACGCCGUAAACGAUGGAUACUAGUUGUUUGGCUUUCGGGCUGAGUGACUAAGCGAAAGUGAUAAGUAUCCCACCUGGGGAGUACGUUCGCAAAGAUGAAACUCAAAGGAAUUGACGG
RNAcentral lists this ribosomal RNA (770 nucleotides) under Dokdonia sp. Its description in RNAcentral is "bacterial SSU rRNA". It matches the Rfam family "Bacterial small subunit ribosomal RNA", at positions 145 to 916 of the family's 1533-position model. Lineage: Bacteria; Pseudomonadati; Bacteroidota; Flavobacteriia; Flavobacteriales; Flavobacteriaceae. The record is from RNAcentral.